RNAcentral lists this microRNA precursor (57 nucleotides) under Ornithorhynchus anatinus (platypus). RNAcentral describes it as "Oan-Mir-193-P1b_pre stem-loop". The record is from RNAcentral. Lineage: Eukaryota; Metazoa; Chordata; Mammalia; Monotremata; Ornithorhynchidae.
CGGGUCUUUGCGGGCGAGGUGAGGGCUUUCGGUUCAACUGGCCUUCAAAGUCCCAGU